ACGUUUCGUCCUCUAGAGCCUCUCUUGUCGCCGUCGCCGUGCUUAUCUGCUUGCUCCCAGGUCAAUUAGUCGGUCCUUGUUUAAUCAUCCGGUGACACAGCGAUACAGGCAGCCAGGGUAUACGUACGUAUACCUAGCUAGAUGCUCCUUGUGCUUCUUGGCCUCUACGUAUACUAGAGCCCUGAAACAAAAGGUAUAGGGAUGGGUGGUGUAUUGCAUUGCACCACAUCACGGG
Molecule: long non-coding RNA, 235 nt
Filed under: Hordeum vulgare
Lineage: Eukaryota; Viridiplantae; Streptophyta; Magnoliopsida; Poales; Poaceae
Description: long non-coding RNA (HVUL_LNC004521)
Source: RNAcentral